Molecule: ribosomal RNA, 1935 nt
Filed under: Listeria monocytogenes
Lineage: Bacteria; Bacillati; Bacillota; Bacilli; Caryophanales; Listeriaceae
Description: partial 23S ribosomal RNA
Rfam family: Bacterial large subunit ribosomal RNA
Source: RNAcentral
CUGAAACAUCUAAGUACCUGGAGGAAGAGAAAGAAAAAUCGAUUUCCUGAGUAGCGGCGAGCGAAACGGAAAGAGCCCAAACCAAGAAGCUUGCUUCUUGGGGUUGUAGGACACUCUAUACGGAGUUACAAAAGAAAGUUAUAAAUGAAGCGGUCUGGAAAGGCCCGCCAAAGACGGUAACAGCCCGGUAGUUGAAAUGGCUUUCCCUCCAGAGUGGAUCCUGAGUACGGCGGAACACGUGAAAUUCCGUCGGAAUCCGGGAGGACCAUCUCCCAAGGCUAAAUACUCCCUAGUGACCGAUAGUGAACCAGUACCGUGAGGGAAAGGUGAAAAGCACCCCGGAAGGGGAGUGAAACAGUUCCUGAAACCGUGUGCCUACAAGUAGUUAGAGCCCGUUAAUGGGUGAUAGCGUGCCUUUUGUAGAAUGAACCGGCGAGUUACGAUUUGUUGCAAGGUUAAGCGGAAAAAGCGGAGCCGUAGCGAAAGCGAGUCUGAAUAGGGCGCAUAAGUAACAGGUCGUAGACCCGAAACCAGGUGAUCUACCCAUGUCCAGGAUGAAGGUAAGGUAAUACUUACUGGAGGUCCGAACCCACGCACGUUGAAAAGUGCGGGGAUGAGGUGUGGGUAGCGGAGAAAUUCCAAUCGAACUUGGAGAUAGCUGGUUCUCUCCGAAAUAGCUUUAGGGCUAGCCUCGAGGUAAAGAGUCAUGGAGGUAGAGCACUGUUUGGACUAGGGGCCCUUCUCGGGUUACCGAAUUCAGAUAAACUCCGAAUGCCAUGUACUUAUACUCGGGAGUCAGACUGCGAGUGAUAAGAUCCGUAGUCGAAAGGGAAACAGCCCAGACCACCAGUUAAGGUCCCCAAAUAUAUGUUAAGUGGAAAAGGAUGUGGGGUUGCUUAGACAACCAGGAUGUUGGCUUAGAAGCAGCCACCAUUGAAAGAGUGCGUAAUAGCUCACUGGUCGAGUGACCCCGCGCCGAAAAUGUACCGGGGCUAAACAUAUUACCGAAACUGUGGAUGAACCUCUUUAGAGGUUCGUGGUAGGAGAGCGUUCUAAGGGCGGUGAAGUCAGACCGGAAGGACUGGUGGAGCGCUUAGAAGUGAGAAUGCCGGUAUGAGUAGCGAAAGAAGGGUGAGAAUCCCUUCCACCGAAUAUCUAAGGUUUCCUGAGGAAGGCUCGUCCGCUCAGGGUUAGUCGGGACCUAAGCCGAGGCCGAUAGGCGUAGGCGAUGGACAACAGGUAGAGAUUCCUGUACCAGUGCUAAUUGUUUAACCGAUGGGGUGACACAGAAGGAUAGGGAAUCGCACGAAUGGAAAUGUGCGUCCAAGCAGUGAGUGUGAGAAGUAGGCAAAUCCGCUUCUCGCGAAGCAUGAGCUGUGAUGGGGAAGGAAAUUAAGUACGGAAGUUCCUGAUUUCACGCUGUCAAGAAAAGCCUCUAGGAAGAGUAGUACUGCCCGUACCGCAAACCGACACAGGUAGAUGAGGAGAGAAUCCUAAGGUGAGCGAGAGAACUCUCGUUAAGGAACUCGGCAAAAUGACCCCGUAACUUCGGGAGAAGGGGUGCUCUAUUAGGGUGCAAGCCCGAGAGAGCCGCAGUGAAUAGGCCCAGGCGACUGUUUAGCAAAAACACAGGUCUCUGCAAAACCGUAAGGUGACGUAUAGGGGCUGACGCCUGCCCGGUGCUGGAAGGUUAAGAGGAGUGCUUAGCUUCGGCGAAGGUACGAAUUGAAGCCCCAGUAAACGGCGGCCGUAACUAUAACGGUCCUAAGGUAGCGAAAUUCCUUGUCGGGUAAGUUCCGACCCGCACGAAAGGCGCAACGAUCUGGGCACUGUCUCAACGAGAGACUCGGUGAAAUUAUAGUACCUGUGAAGAUGCAGGUUACCCGCGACAGGACGGAAAGACCCCGUGGAGCUUUACUGCAACCUGAUAUGGAA